RNAcentral lists this ribosomal RNA (857 nucleotides) under Pseudomonas aeruginosa. Its description in RNAcentral is "partial 23S ribosomal RNA". It matches the Rfam family "Bacterial large subunit ribosomal RNA", at positions 1 to 911 of the family's 2925-position model. Lineage: Bacteria; Pseudomonadati; Pseudomonadota; Gammaproteobacteria; Pseudomonadales; Pseudomonadaceae. The record is from RNAcentral.
GGUCAAGUGAAGAAGCGCAUACGGUGGAUGCCUUGGCAGUCAGAGGCGAUGAAAGACGUGGUAGCCUGCGAAAAGCUUCGGGGAGUCGGCAAACAGACUUUGAUCCGGAGAUCUCUGAAUGGGGGAACCCACCUAGGAUAACCUAGGUAUCUUGUACUGAAUCCAUAGGUGCAAGAGGCGAACCAGGGGAACUGAAACAUCUAAGUACCCUGAGGAAAAGAAAUCAACCGAGAUUCCCUUAGUAGUGGCGAGCGAACGGGGAUUAGCCCUUAAGCUUCAUUGAUUUUAGCGGAACGCUCUGGAAAGUGCGGCCAUAGUGGGUGAUAGCCCCGUACGCGAAAGGAUCUUUGAAGUGAAAUCGAGUAGGACGGAGCACGAGAAACUUUGUCUGAACAUGGGGGGACCAUCCUCCAAGGCUAAAUACUACUGACUGACCGAUAGUGAACCAGUACCGUGAGGGAAAGGCGAAAAGAACCCCGGAGAGGGGAGUGAAAUAGAACCUGAAACCGUAUGCGUACAAGCAGUGGGAGCCUACUUGUUAGGUGACUGCGUACCUUUUGUAUAAUGGGUCAGCGACUUAUAUUCAGUGGCAAGCUUAACCGUAUAGGGUAGGCGUAGCGAAAGCGAGUCUUAAUAGGGCGUUUAGUCGCUGGGUAUAGACCCGAAACCGGGCGAUCUAUCCAUGAGCAGGUUGAAGGUUAGGUAACACUGACUGGAGGACCGAACCCACUCCCGUUGAAAAGGUAGGGGAUGACUUGUGGAUCGGAGUGAAAGGCUAAUCAAGCUCGGAGAUAGCUGGUUCUCCUCGAAAGCUAUUUAGGUAGCGCCUCAUGUAUCACUCUGGGGGGUAGAGCACU